Long non-coding RNA from Neodiprion virginianus, 1643 nucleotides. RefSeq lists it as uncharacterized. Lineage: Eukaryota; Metazoa; Arthropoda; Insecta; Hymenoptera; Diprionidae. The record is from RefSeq and is a predicted model, not a curated record. The transcript has 3 exons.
UCUUGGGCGAAAGGCGUACCAGUAGCUCCGAAAGCGAGGUGGUAUCACGGUGAAAAGGCAGGAGCUGGGCGGUAUUGAUUAAACGUCAGUGAGUCGUCAUAAAGACGUCAAAGCCACGAAUAUCACCAGGACAACAUCCUGUGACCGAAUUUACGACUUCCGAGCAACAGGUUGCUUCCCGUCUUAUUCGGCGGCUGCGCAUGGCGACCGUGCCGCUCAUUGUCAAAGUGAUUUUCAGAAUUAACGGAGAUACAGAAACACUAGACAAAAAGUUGAGUCUGAGCGAUGACGAAUAAAAAACUAUGAGACCGAAUAUACAAUAACUUAUAUUACAUCCAUCAGCGAAUUUCUUUUGGGCCUCCAUCGCAGUCUAUACGCGGCAUUCCCAGCACAUGUACGUACAGCUGAAUUCCACCUGUUGCUUCGAGGGUCGUAAAUCUGCCUGGUAGAUGCAACCCUGAUAGGUUUGUCUCAGAAUGACGUCAGUGACAAAUUUCUGACGGACGUCUGACAACCCGAGACAGCGAGAGGUUGACGAAUUCAACGUCGACUCGGAGAAGAUCAUGAGAAAGGUCAAAGAGGUCAGGAGAAUUACACUGAAUCGUAUCAAAGUGUUAUAAACACUGCAGAACAGGUACGCACUUGCGCUAUCUGCACAUCCUGCAUUCAUCCACCUCACCGGUAUUGCUAUCCUAGUAUAAAACCGAGUCCCAGUGACGUCACGCACGGCUGAAGAGUCGCGCCGAUCAUUGAUCUGCACGCGGUUGAACACUGUGAAUACACUGGAUAUGUCCCUUGCUGCCGGGAAAAAGGAUGAAUGCGCCUGAUCAAGGAAUAAUGUUUAAUUGAGAGUUUUUUGCUAACUGAUGUGAUUAACCAAGCGGAAGUUUUGACAGCGGGAAAGACAAUAUAGUACAUGAGAUCGAUCAUGAAACGUCCGUUACGCGAUUGUACAAUAUUUUUAAAGCGAAUGGAACGAACAACCCAUGAACGACGAUUGUAACUUUUAUCACUUUGAAACCGCAAGUAUACCUGAUACAUCGUCCAACUGUCAGCCGAAAAUAUUACACUGGUCAAGAAAAUUUUGUAAUAAGGAAGGUGCUUACUAAUUUUGAAAUACUUAUCUACUCUUAUUAUAAAACAAUAUUCAUUUUUAUUCGAUCAGAUCUAGUUUUUGUAUUACAGGUACUAUCAGUAAAGUUGAAUGUUUAGCGUUUUGCCUAACCUUUCUUUGGUCCUGGGUGUUUUGUUACUUACUAUAAAUACCAGUUAAUCAGUUACAAUAAAUAACAAAACACCCUGACUAAACAAGGAUAAGACAAAAAGAUAAACAUUCAAUUUUACUCUUAGUAGCUGUAACACAAAAACUAGACCCGAUCGAAUCAAAAUAAAUAUGGUUUUAUAAUAAGGGCAGAUAGGUAUUUCAAAAUUAGUAAGCACCUUCCUCGUUACAAAAUUUUCUUGACCAGUGUACUGUUACACUAUACAUAACCUAAUUUUUGUUCAUAAAAACUGCAUUAUUGUCAAAACUAAAAAUAUCAUAUUACAAUAAAACUAUUCGUAUCUAAAAUAUUUUAAUAUCAAUUCUGUUAUAACUAAACCUUGUUCCUAACAUAAUCAGUUAAAAGUUUUCAUAUUACACA